AGGCCUGUGCAGAUUUCGGUUUAAACCGAAAAACCGAACCGAACCGAUUAAUUUCGGUUUUUCGGUUCGGUUAAUCGGUAUGAUCGGUUUGGUUCGGUUUAUAAAUUUAAAAUUAUUCGGUUUUCGGUUCGGUUCGAUUUAAACAUGUUAAAUAACCGAUCAAACCGAAAAACCGAAAAACCGGUUUAAACAUGUUAACCCAACCCAGCAGGCAGCAGCCCAACCCCAUCAAUCGAUUUCGCUGAACCCCUUCGUUCAUCCCGUUCUCCACAUUCUGCAAUCUCCUCUCCCGAACCCGAUUCCCCCCGAACCCCUAUUCUCUCUCUCGAAUCCCGAUUCCUUCCCCUGGCCUCUCUUUCUCUUUCACGUCGAUCGUCAAUCUUUUUCUCGUCGACCUCCGACCGCCGACCGUCGACCAUCAACCUCUUUCCCGUCGAUUUGGUGAGUUUCACCGCCGACCGUGAACUGAUCUCUUGAGAGCAAAGGUACUACCGCUUUUGGCAAUUUGUGUUUUCUCUCUUUUGUACUUGACCAUCAACCUCUUUUUUGUACUGUGGCUCAGUCAGAUGCUUGUGUUUUCUCUCUUUUUUUCCCCUCAAUUUGUUUGUCUUGGGUUGGGUAUGGGUUUACUGGGUUUACUUUUAAUCUUUGCCAUUACCAAUUUGAUUUGUUUGUAUGGGAUAAUACUGAUUUUUUCACAAAAAAAAUCAAGCGGGUUGGUACUUUGCAGGAAACAGUGAUUACAUGAUUUAGGGAUUUCUUGUCUGCGAGAGGGAAAAACAGCAAGGAAGAGGAAGAAGAGGAAACAGUGAUUACAUGAUUUAGGGUUUCAUCUAAUCUCUGUUCUUUCCAUUUCUCAAUUAAUUUGUGAAAUUAUACAUUGAGUUGUUAGGGAAAUAAUAGAACAGCUUAUUUUCUUAAUGCAUAUAUUGAUAUGGAUAUAAGAUAAGCUUAUCUUUGGCUUUUAGAUCCCUCGGAUGGAUGGUGCUUGUUGGUUUUGUGGCAUUAGUUGUUUUUUUAUGAUAAAAAUCAAUACUUGAAGUCUUUUCAUUUUAGAAUGAACUGACCCUGAGUUUUCUUUUUAUCCAGUUUUUUCUUUCCCAUUAUAUGUUGAGCUUUCUGUGUGAUUUGCCUUUUUUUGGUGUCUACAGAGACAAAGACCCUGUCUGGAUUUUGAUGUUUGAGGUUACUUGUUUUGAUGUACAAUGUAAAGUUUUCUUGUUUCUGAAGUUUGUAUUGUAGAGUUGCCCGUUUAUUCUUGUAGUUCUUUUCUCUUUUUGGAAAAUUACGAGGGCAGUUUAUUUUCUUGUCUGAUCUUUAUGUAUCCUAACCAUGACUAAUUUAGCAACUAGGAAAACGUUUAUUAUAUUCCUGGUGUUGUUGCAAGAUGAUAGGAGACAAAUCGAAUCAGUUUUUUUGGUUUUAAAAAUUUCAGCAAAUCGGUUUUCGGUUUUAUCGGUUCGGUUCGGUUCGGUUCGGUUCGGUUCGGUUCGGAACCGAACCGACCGAUUGCACAGGUUCCAAAUUAAAAAUAAAAAAUUAAAAAAAAACAGAUUUCGGUUUUAACCGAACCGAACCGAUUUUUAUCGGUUCGAUUCGGUUCGGUUAUACCUCCAGAAUCGGUUUUUUCGGUUUUUAAAAUUUCAGCAAAUCG
This 1654-nucleotide long non-coding RNA is filed under the name Manihot esculenta (cassava). RNAcentral's name for it is "long non-coding RNA (MESC_LNC008161)". The record is from RNAcentral. Lineage: Eukaryota; Viridiplantae; Streptophyta; Magnoliopsida; Malpighiales; Euphorbiaceae.